This is a long non-coding RNA of Nerophis ophidion (straightnose pipefish), 216 nucleotides long. RefSeq lists it as uncharacterized. The record is from RefSeq and is a predicted model, not a curated record. Lineage: Eukaryota; Metazoa; Chordata; Actinopteri; Syngnathiformes; Syngnathidae. The transcript has 3 exons.
GCCGUGAACAAGAUGAGGCUUGAUAGUCCCACUGUCCUCCUCCGAGAAACAGAUGAUCUCAGCAAGUUCUGUCACAGCUGUGGGAUGGAGGAGAGCGAUGACCCUAAUUGGAUCCGCUGUGACAUCUGUGACAGGUGGUUUCACCACGAGUGUGUCCUGAGGCCAGAUCUUGAUGGGGAUUACCUGUGCCUUGCAUGUGUAUGAUGAUUGUCUUUG